This 253-nucleotide ribosomal RNA is filed under the name uncultured prokaryote. RNAcentral's name for it is "partial 16S ribosomal RNA". It matches the Rfam family "Bacterial small subunit ribosomal RNA", at positions 524 to 776 of the family's 1533-position model. The record is from RNAcentral.
UACGGAGGGUGCAAGCGUUGUUCGGAAUUACUGGGCGUAAAGCGCACGCAGGCGGCGUGACAAGUCGAACGUGAAAUCCCUGGGCUCAACCCAGGAACUGCGCUCGAAACUGUCAUGCUUGAGUCCGGGAGAGGAUGGUGGAAUUCCUGGUGUAGAGGUGAAAUUCGUUGAUAUCAGGAGGAACACCGGCGGCGAAGGCGGCCAUCUGGCCCGGAACUGACGCUCAUGUGCGAAAGCGUGGGGAGCAAACAGG